RNAcentral lists this ribosomal RNA (769 nucleotides) under uncultured bacterium. RNAcentral's name for it is "bacterial SSU rRNA". It matches the Rfam family "Bacterial small subunit ribosomal RNA", at positions 8 to 765 of the family's 1533-position model. The record is from RNAcentral.
AGAGUUUGAUCCUGGCUCAGAGUGAACGCUGGCGGUAGGCCUAACACAUGCAAGUCGAACGGCAGCACAGUAAGAGCUUGCUCUUACGGGUGGCGAGUGGCGGACGGGUGAGGAAUACAUCGGAAUCUACUUUUUCGUGGGGGAUAACGUAGGGAAACUUACGCUAAUACCGCAUACGACCUACGGGUGAAAGCAGGGGAUCUUCGGACCUUGCGCGAUUGAAUGAGCCGAUGUCGGAUUAGCUAGUUGGCGGGGUAAAGGCCCACCAAGGCGACGAUCCGUAGCUGGUCUGAGAGGAUGAUCAGCCACACUGGAACUGAGACACGGUCCAGACUCCUACGGGAGGCAGCAGUGGGGAAUAAUGGACAAUGGGCGCAAGCCUGAUCCAGCCAUACCGCGUGGGUGAAGAAGGCCUUCGGGUUGUAAAGCCCUUUUGUUGGGAAAGAAAUCCAGCUGGUUAAUACCCGGUUGGGAUGACGGUACCCAAAGAAUAAGCACCGGCUAACUUCGUGCCAGCAGCCGCGGUAAUACGAAGGGUGCAAGCGUUACUCGGAAUUACUGGGCGUAAAGCGUGCGUAGGUGGUCGUUUAAGUCUGUUGUGAAAGCCCUGGGCUCAACCUGGGAACUGCAGUGGAAACUGGACGACUAGAGUGUGGUAGAGGGUAGCGGAAUUCCUGGUGUAGCAGUGAAAUGCGUAGAGAUCAGAGGAACAUCCAUGGCGAAAGCAGCUACCUGGACCAACACUGACACUGAGGCACGAAAGCGUGGG